UCUUCCCUCUUUCUUCGUGCCUAAUACAUGCAAGUCGAGCGAACGGACGAGAAGCUUGCUUCUCUGAUGUUAGCGGCGGACGGGUGAGUAACACGUGGAUAACCUACCUAUAAGACUGGGAUAACUUCGGGAAACCGGAGCUAAUACCGGAUAAUAUUUUGAACCGCAUGGUUCAAAAGUGAAAGACGGUCUUGAUGUCACUUAUAGAUGGAUCCGCGCUGCAUUAGCUAGCUGGUAAGGUAACGGCUUACCAAGGCAACGAUGCAUAGCCGACCUGAGAGGGUGAUCGGCCACACUGGAACUGAGACACGGUCCAGACUCCUACGGGAGGCAGCAGUAGGGAAUCUUCCGCAAUGGGCGAAAGCCUGACGGAGCAACGCCGCGUGAGUGAUGAAGGUCUUCGGAUCGUAAAACUCUGUUAUUAGGGAAGAACAUAUGUGUAAGUAACUGUGCACAUCUUGACGGUACCUAAUCAGAAAGCCACGGCUAACUACGUG
This 497-nucleotide ribosomal RNA is filed under the name uncultured bacterium. RNAcentral's name for it is "partial 16S ribosomal RNA". It matches the Rfam family "Bacterial small subunit ribosomal RNA", at positions 36 to 507 of the family's 1533-position model. The record is from RNAcentral.